CAGGCGUCUGGUUAAUGGCGAAAUGUGAACCGUUUGGCGUUCCAUACUAGGCGUCGACCGUGUCGACCGACGCCGAGGCGUCGACGGGCGUCGUCGACCGUCGACGUAGAUGAAGAGGCGGUUGCAAUGCAUUGAUUUAAGGAAGAAAAAAUGGUGAACAUUGGGCCUCUGUUUAAUUUGUCCUUGCUCUGGUGUUUUACUCGACUAUGGUGCUUCUGGUUUUGGUGCAGACAGAGAACCAGUGUUUGUGAUGGAGGGGGAUUCAGUCACACUACACACUGGUGUUUAAAACAAACCAACAAGAAGAGAUUAUAUGGUAUUUUAAUGCCAUUCUCAUCGCAUUAAUCACUGGAGAUCAGAGUAAGAUCUGUACAGAUGUUCAGUGUAAAGAAAGAUUCAGAGACCGACUGAAGCUGGAUCAUCAGACUGGAUCUCUGAACAUCACAAACACCAGAACCACAGACAAUGGAGAGUAUAAAUUGAAGAUUAUCAAAAGUAACAGUGACAGUGAAAAUAUAUUCAGUGUUUCUGUUCAUGAUGUUCUUGCUCUUGAACGAGAUAAAAUGAACAGAAAGGAGGGAGAUUCUGUCACUUUACAUC
Molecule: long non-coding RNA, 600 nt
Organism: Cyprinus carpio (common carp)
Lineage: Eukaryota; Metazoa; Chordata; Actinopteri; Cypriniformes; Cyprinidae
Exons: 3
Source: RefSeq, a predicted model, not a curated record